UGGGGAAUAUUGGACAAUGGUCGCAAGCCUGACCCAGCCAUGCCGCGUGAGUGAUGAAGGCCCUAGGGUUGUAAAGCUCUUUCACCGGUGAAGAUAAUGACGGUAACCGGAGAAGAAGCCCCGGCUAACUUCGUGCCAGCAGCCGCGGUAAUACGAAGGGGGCUAGCGUUGUUCGGAUUUACUGGGCGUAAAGCGCACGUAGGCGGACUUUUAAUUCAGGGGUGAAAUCCCGGGGCUCAACCCCGGAACUGCCUUUGAUACUGGAAGUCUUGAGUAUGGUAGAGGUGAGUGGAAUUCCGAGUGUAGGGGUGAAAUUCGUAGAUAUUCGGAGGAACACCAGUGGCGAAGGCGGCUCACUGGACCAUUACUGACGCUGAGGUGCGAAAGCGUGGGGAGCAAACAGG
Molecule: ribosomal RNA, 404 nt
Filed under: Actinomycetes bacterium
Lineage: Bacteria; Bacillati; Actinomycetota; Actinomycetes
Description: Actinobacteria bacterium partial 16S ribosomal RNA
Rfam family: Bacterial small subunit ribosomal RNA
Source: RNAcentral